Molecule: long non-coding RNA, 1229 nt
Organism: Syngnathus acus (greater pipefish)
Lineage: Eukaryota; Metazoa; Chordata; Actinopteri; Syngnathiformes; Syngnathidae
Exons: 3
Source: RefSeq, a predicted model, not a curated record
UAAAAUAAUCCUAAAUCCAUCUACGGUUCUGGGUUUAUAAUUGGUGGAUUUCUUUGAUCCAGUUUCUUCACAUUUAUUUGGAAUGUAAUUCCUUUAGUGACUACUAGAUGGCGCCACACUUUUGUUUGACACUAAAUUUGGGUAAAGGAGAAUGAAAACAGGAAGUAUUUCUGAUCACAUGACUUUUUUUUUUAUAAGAUCACAGCAUGUCAAUUCUGCUUUUUAAACCUACAGAAAUCACCACUUGUGGAUCGUCUAAUCGAGAGGAGGUGGGGAUGACUCAUCUAUCUGAGGUUGUUGCUGUCCAGCCUCCUCUCUGGAGUCAGAAAGGACGCUCCGCUUGAGGGGUGCUGGGCGAAGGCAGGAGGUUCCUGGAGGCGUGGAAGGCUCAGGGUGUCUGUGGGAGGCUCGUGAGGAGGAGGAAGAAGUGGAUGAAGAUGAAGUGCAGUUGCCAGUGCACACCCCCGAGCUGGACCGUUCGCCUCUUUUGGCACGAUAGGACGCUCUACGCCUGAGCUCGCUCACCAGCUCAUAUUUGACGAAGCAAAAGACGUCCUUGACCCCGCAACGUUUUUCCGGCUCGGCGGCGAGAAGCCUUUGGAACAUUCGCAGGGCGUCGUCGGUGAAUCGGCGCCACUGAGACGGAUACGUCCCCACGGGGCAUCCGGCUUUCUGCCAACGUCGGAACUCCUCGUAGAAGGCGUCGCUUAGCAGCGCCGCUUCCCAGGGGAAGUUACCCGUCAGCAUGCAGAAGACCAGAACUCCAAAAGCCCACACGUCCAGACUGGUAGCCACCAGGAAGCCCUCGGUGCGGCCGGCCCGGCACACCUCCGGAGCCGUGUAGGGGAUGGUGCCGCUCACCCUUUUCACCCGACAGCCGACCCGUCGAGUCAUGCCAAAGUCGGCUAGCUUGAUGCGGCGACACUCGCGGUCGAACAGAAGCACGUUUUCCGGCUUGACGUCCCUGUGGACCAAACUUUUGCUGUGCAUGAAAUCCAGAGCCAGACCGAGUUGUUGCAUGCAGCGUUUGACCAUUUCUUCUGGAAGACCCACCUGGGAGGAAGACAAAAAGCAAAACACAGUUCAGGGAGAACACUGAUUUUCUCCAAUAAGAUCUCCAGUCUCGCAAUUGCAAUUUUAAUGAGGAAGCCAAGACAAGUAGUUCUAAAGCAAAGUCGGAGCUGCCGACAAAAGGCUCCGACUCUCAGGAGAGAGAGCUUGUUAAAAGC